RNAcentral lists this ribosomal RNA (490 nucleotides) under uncultured bacterium. RNAcentral's name for it is "partial 16S ribosomal RNA". It matches the Rfam family "Bacterial small subunit ribosomal RNA", at positions 30 to 507 of the family's 1533-position model. The record is from RNAcentral.
AUUGAACGCUGGCGGCAUGCCUUACACGUGCAAGUCGAACGGCAGCAUGAUCUAGCUUGCUAGAUUGAUGGCGAGUGGCGAACGGGUGAGUAAUACAUCGGAACGUGCCCUGUAGUGGGGGAUAACUAGUCGAAAGAUUAGCUAAUACCGCAUACGACCUGAGGGUGAAAGUGGGGGACCGCAAGGCCUCAUGCUAUAGGAGCGGCCGAUGUCUGAUUAGCUAGUUGGUGAGGUAAAGGCUCACCAAGGCGACGAUCAGUAGCUGGUCUGAGAGGACGAUCAGCCACACUGGGACUGAGACACGGCCCAGACUCCUACGGGAGGCAGCAGUGGGGAAUUUUGGACAAUGGGCGAAAGCCUGAUCCAGCAAUGCCGCGUGUGUGAAGAAGGCCUUCGGGUUGUAAAGCACUUUUGUCCGGAAAGAAAUGGCUCUGGUUAAUACCUGGGGUCGAUGACGGUACCGGAAGAAUAAGGACCGGCUAACUACGUG